CAUUUGAGCGAUGUGAAAUUGUUAACAAGAUGAGGGUUUCAACGGACUGAGUUGUUGUUCUUGUGCCUUGCCUGAAAUCAGAGGAGAGAAGAAGGAAAUCAGAGGUGGGCUCGAAGCUGAACUUCGAGCUAAACGAGAAAAGGGAUCAAAGAGAUUCGUUUUUCUUCAAGAUUUUGGCCUGAAAUCAGGGGAGAGAAAGAAGAAGGAAGGUUCGAGUAGAGCUUGAAGCUAAACUUCGAGCUAAACAAGAGGAGGGUUUGAAUAGGAGUUGUUGUUCUUCCUAUUUUGACUUCAAUUGGAGGGUGGGCCAUUAAUCUUUGGUACCUUGGGUCUAUGUCAUGCCAUCCAUUUAACAUUCCCAAAAUCUCAGCAUAGAUGGUGUUGUAGGCAUCCUUAUCAGAACUUCAAAGGCACAUAUCCUGGAAUGUUACUCGGAAUGUUGUUUUGGUCAGCAGCUAAAGCAUCUACUACAUUCCUAUUUGAGAAGGCAAUGAAUGAAAUGAAGGCCAUUAACAAAGAUGCUCAUGAUUGGUUGCAUAAAAAUCCACAAAAAAUCUGGUCCAGACACAUUUUUGAUUUUAGAUGCAAGAGCGACCACAUGACAAAUAAUAUGAUUCAAUCUAUUAGGAGCAAGCCCAUUCUUAUUUUAAUUGAUGAGAUAAGGAAGCAACUACUUGAAAUGAUGGAGUCAAGAUAUUGGAUGGGUUGCACCUAUAAGGGGAAAGUCACCCCAAGGAUUCAAAAGAUGCCAACUGUCAUAAGGAGUGAAUCUAGACGGUGUAUGGUUCUUGCAUCUAGAUUAGAUGAGUUUGAAAUCACAGAUAGCCAAGGCAAAUAUGUGAUUUGAAGAAACAUUCUGGUGGAUGCAAUGUCUGGGAUGCUACAGGACUACCAUGUAAGCAUGCGAUUGCCUAUAUUGAAAACAAGAUGGAAGACUUGGAAACUUAUAGUGAUCAAUACUACAUUGUACAAAAAUACUUGAAAGUGUACAAAGACAUAAUUCAUCCACUUCCUAAUCUGGAUGAAUUAAAAGAAGAACAUCCCAUGGGCAUUGUUCAGCCUCCACCCUCGAAGAGGUUAGUAGGAAGAUGGAAUACAGUUAGGAAGAAGGAACCUGGUGAAGGACCAUAUGGAGAAUUUAGAAAAAGGUCUUUAAGUCUUAGAUGUGAAAGAUGCAAAGUGGAAGGACACAACAUUUGCACCUGCACAGGACCUCCAGUUAAGAGUAAAAAAAUGCUUCUUCUAAUGUGAAGGGAAAGGAAAGGAGUGGAAGCAAACCUGAGAGCAACUUGUCUCAAAUAUAAACAAGUUCUUCAUAGGCUUCUUCAAGUUGCAUAAUUGAUGAGAAUGUACAGACCAAGAUUAAAGCCAUUUCAAAAGCUAAAAAGAGGAUAAAAUGAAAGCAAGGGAGAAGGCAACGAAGAUAGAAAGUAGUAAGAAGAUUUGAAUAGUAAAACACAAGAGUACAUGGGAUAUGGUGUUAACUUUAAUAUCAAUGAUGUUUUAUGGAUGAUGACUUCUUUUUAAUGUUAGUUGGAUGUAAUGGUUAUUUUAAUGUACUUGAACCUUCCUUUGGAUAUGGUUGCUUUAGGAAUGAUGAUAAAUGCUUGCAUUUUAUUUGGA
Macadamia integrifolia is the source of this 1623-nucleotide long non-coding RNA. RefSeq lists it as uncharacterized. The record is from RefSeq and is a predicted model, not a curated record. The transcript has 3 exons. NCBI's taxonomy places the organism in Eukaryota, Viridiplantae, Streptophyta, Magnoliopsida, Proteales, Proteaceae.